This 487-nucleotide ribosomal RNA is filed under the name uncultured bacterium. RNAcentral describes it as "bacterial SSU rRNA". It matches the Rfam family "Bacterial small subunit ribosomal RNA", at positions 8 to 518 of the family's 1533-position model. The record is from RNAcentral.
AGAGUUUGAUUAUGGCUCAGAACGAACGCUGGCGGCAUGGAUUAGGCAUGCAAGUCGAACGGGAGCAGCAAUGCUCCAGUGGCGCAAGGGUGAGGAACACGUGAACAACCUGCCUUCGAGUUGGGGAUAGCUUCUGGAAACGGGAGAUAAUACCGAAUAACAUCAUUGGGUCGCAUGAUCUGAUGAUCAAAGCAGCAAUGCGCUUGAAGAGGGGUUCGCGUCCCAUUAGCUAGUUGGUGAGGUAACGGCCCACCAAGGCGAUGAUGGGUAGCUGGUCUGAGAGGACGAUCAGCCACAUUGGGACUGAGAUACUGCCCAGACUCCUACGGGAGGCUGCAGUCGAGAAUUUUGGGCAAUGGACGAAAGUCUGACCCAGCCAAUGCCGCGUGCGGGAUGAAGGUCUUCGGAUUGUAAACCGCUGUCAAGAGGGACGAAAUAUGACGGUACCUCUGGAGGAAGCCACGGCUAACUACGUGCCAGCCGCUGC